CCAGGAUGUUGGCUUAGAAGCAGCCAUCAUUUAAAGAAAGCGUAAUAGCUCACUGGUCGAGUCGGCCUGCGCGGAAGAUGUAACGGGGCUAAACCAUGCACCGAAGCUGCGGCAGCGACACUAUGUGUUGUUGGGUAGGGGAGCGUUCUGUAAGCCUGUGAAGGUGUACUGUGAGGUAUGCUGGAGGUAUCAGAAGUGCGAAUGCUGACAUAAGUAACGAUAAAGCGGGUGAAAAGCCCGCUCGCCGGAAGACCAAGGGUUCCUGUCCAACGUUAAUCGGGGCAGGGUGAGUCGACCCCUAAGGCGAGGCCGAAAGGCGUAGUCGAUGGGAAACAGGUUAAUAUUCCUGUACUUGGUGUUACUGCGAAGGGGGGACGGAGAAGGCUAUGUUGGCCGGGCGACGGUUGUCCCGGUUUAAGCGUGUAGGCUGAUUUUCCAGGCAAAUCCGGAAAAUCAAGGCUGAGGCGUGAUGACGAGGCACUACGGUGCUGAAGCAACAAAUGCCCUGCUUCCAGGAAAAGCCUCUAAGCAUCAGGUAACAUCAAAUCGUACCCCAAACCGACACAGGUGGUCAGGUAGAGAAUACCAAGGCGCUUGAGAGAACUCGGGUGAAGGAACUAGGCAAAAUGGUGCCGUAACUUCGGGAGAAGGCACGCUGAUAUGUAGGUGAAGCGACUUGCUCGUGGAGCUGAAAUCAGUCGAAGAUACCAGCUGGCUGCAACUGUUUAUUAAAAACACAGCACUGUGCAAACACGAAAGUGGACGUAUACGGUGUGACGCCUGCCCGGUGCCGGAAGGUUAAUUGAUGGGGUUAGCGGUAACGCGAAGCUCUUGAUCGAAGCCCCGGUAAACGGCGGCCGUAACUAUAACGGUCCUAAGGUAGCGAAAUUCCUUGUCGGGUAAGUUCCGACCUGCACGAAUGGCGUAAUGAUGGCCAGGCUGUCUCCACCCGAGACUCAGUGAAAUUGAACUCGCUGUGAAGAUGCAGUGUACCCGCGGCAAGACGGAAAGACCCCGUGAACCUUUACUAUAGCUUGACACUGAACAUUGAGCCUUGAUGUGUAGGAUAGGUGGGAGGCUUUGAAGUGUGGACGCCAGUCUGCAUGGAGCCGACCUUGAAAUACCACCCUUUA
This 1133-nucleotide ribosomal RNA is filed under the name Escherichia coli. RNAcentral describes it as "partial 23S ribosomal RNA". It matches the Rfam family "Bacterial large subunit ribosomal RNA", at positions 1093 to 2209 of the family's 2925-position model. Lineage: Bacteria; Pseudomonadati; Pseudomonadota; Gammaproteobacteria; Enterobacterales; Enterobacteriaceae. The record is from RNAcentral.